UGCCUUCAAAGCCCUAAACAAGGAUAACCCCCUUAAUUUCU
This 41-nucleotide transfer RNA is filed under the name Gerrhonotus parvus. Its description in RNAcentral is "partial tRNA-Trp". Lineage: Eukaryota; Metazoa; Chordata; Lepidosauria; Squamata; Anguidae. The record is from RNAcentral.